This 417-nucleotide ribosomal RNA is filed under the name uncultured bacterium. RNAcentral's name for it is "bacterial SSU rRNA". It matches the Rfam family "Bacterial small subunit ribosomal RNA", at positions 29 to 489 of the family's 1533-position model. The record is from RNAcentral.
AGCGAACGCUGGCGGCAGGCCUAAAACAUGCAAGUCGAACGCCUGUAGCAAUACAGGAGUGGCAGACGGGUGAGUAACACGUGGGAACGUACCCUUUGGUUCGGAACAACACAGGGAAACUUGUGCUAAUACCGGAUAAGCCCUUACGGGGAAAGAUUUAUCGCCAGAGGAUCGGCCCGCGUCUGAUUAGCUUGUUGGUGAGGUAAUGGCUCACCAAGGCGACGAUCAGUAGCUGGUCUGAGAGGAUGAUCAGCCACAUUGGGACUGAGACACGGCCCAAACUCCUACGGGAGGCAGCAGUGGGGAAUAUUGGACAAUGGGCGAAAGCCUGAUCCAGCCAUGCCGCGUGAGUGAUGAAGGCCUUAGGGUUGUAAAGCUCUUUUACCCGGGAAGAUAAUGACGGUACCGGGAGAAUAA